This 360-nucleotide ribosomal RNA is filed under the name Diapherodes gigantea saintluciae. RNAcentral describes it as "partial 12S ribosomal RNA". The record is from RNAcentral. Lineage: Eukaryota; Metazoa; Arthropoda; Insecta; Phasmatodea; Phasmatidae.
UAAAUGUGAAUUAAUAUAUUUGGUUUAAUUUCAGUUAUUUAAUUUUAAUGACUUUAAAUAUUUUGUUUUUGGGUGAAAUUUAAAUUUUUACAUAAUUUUUUUUUAAAUCUGAUAAAAUCAUAAUUUAAACUGGGAUUAGAUACCCUAUUAUUUUGUUUGUAAAAAAUUUUUGCUAGGGUAGUAUUAGUUAUGUUCUUUAAACCUAAAGGAUUUGGCGGUAUUUUAUUCUUAUCAGAGGAACUUGUCCUUUAAUCGAUAAUCCUCGUUUUAUCUUUCUUUAAUUAAUGUAUGUAUACCUCCGUUAAAAGUUUAUGUUUUUAGAUUAUUAAAUUUACUUUUUAUUUUAUUUUAUUAUAUUUC